CCUACGGGGGGCAGCAGUGAGGAAUAUUGGUCAAUGGACGAGAGUCUGAACCAGCCAAGUAGCGUGAAGGAUGACUGCCCUAUGGGUUGUAAACUUCUUUUAUAUGGGAAUAAAAUGUUCCACGUGUGGGAUUUUGUAUGUACCAUAUGAAUAAGGAUCGGCUAACUCCGUGCCAGCAGCCGCGGUAAUACGGAGGAUCCGAGCGUUAUCCGGAUUUAUUGGGUUUAAAGGGAGCGUAGGUGGAUUGUUAAGUCAGUUGUGAAAGUUUGCGGCUCAACCGUAAAAUUGCAGUUGAAACUGGCAGUCUUGAGUACAGUAGAGGUGAGCGGAAUUCGUGGUGUAGCGGUGAAAUGCUUAGAUAUCACGAAGAACUCCGAUUGCGAAGGCAGUUCACUGGACUGCAACUGACACUGAGGCUCGAAAGUGUGGGUAUCAAACAGGAUUAGAUACCCCUGUAGUC
Molecule: ribosomal RNA, 460 nt
Filed under: uncultured bacterium
Lineage: Bacteria
Description: partial 16S ribosomal RNA
Rfam family: Bacterial small subunit ribosomal RNA
Source: RNAcentral